AACGAACGCUGGCGGCAUGCCUAACACAUGCCAGUCGAACGAGACCUUCGGGUCUAGUGGCGCACGGGUGCGUAACGCGUGGGAACCUGCCCUUAGGUUCGGAAUAACUCCCCGAAAGGGGUGCUAAUACCGGAUAAUGUCUUCGGACCAAAGAUUUAUCGCCUUUGGAUGGGCCCGCGUUGGAUUAGCUAGUUGGUAGGGUAAAAGCCUACUAAGGCGACGAUCCAUAGCUGGUCUGAGAGGAUGAUCAGCCACACUGGGACUGAGACACGGCCCAGACUCCUACGGGAGGCAGCAGUGGGGAAUAUUGGACAAUGGGCGAAAGCCUGAUCCAGCAAUGCCGCGUGAGUGAUGAAGGCCUUAGGGUUGUAAAGCUCUUUUACCCGGGAUGAUAAUGACAGUACCGGGAGAAUAAGCUCCGGCUAACUCCGUG
RNAcentral lists this ribosomal RNA (433 nucleotides) under uncultured bacterium. Its description in RNAcentral is "partial 16S ribosomal RNA". It matches the Rfam family "Bacterial small subunit ribosomal RNA", at positions 29 to 507 of the family's 1533-position model. The record is from RNAcentral.